AACACCCACAAACAACGUCACGACGCAACGUGGUUAAACAGUACGUUUAUUAAAGUAACUGGGUGAACGACAUCGGAGCGGACUGCAAAUCGCAACGCUACUUUCUCGAGUGCAGAUACUCUUCGAGACGGCUAAACAACGUGUCCAACUCGCUGAGACCUUUCCGCGUACCGUUAUCCGAUUUCCUUUCCGCCUCCUGAGACAGCCGACUAAUCACGGACUUAUCUCCGCAACCUAACAGAGGCUGGGAGCCCGACAAAAGUAAAACAGCGUGCUAUGAACACGUUGUUACCUCUGCGCGGACAGCGCCGCCACAGAGACACUUACGCAUUGCCGCAUGUCUUUGUAGAUGGAUUCUAGCGUCGAGCGCAUACUAUGCAAUUCCGUCUUAAGUCCAGGAUAGACGUGGUCGCCUGCGGGGAACACGAUCUCCAGAUACCGCCUCAACAACCAGUCCAUGACGCUGCAUCCCCAACAGCCUUUGACCACCGUACCGUCGAGCCACACGGAGUAGUCGUCCUCACGUUGCUACAAGAGGAAAACUACGUCACCCGACACGCGGAAAAGAAAGACCGUCGCAAUAAACCGUACCUACGUGACCUACCAACGUAGGUUUUACUCGAUGAAAGGUGACGCGGAGAUCUUGCAAUCUGGUCGCGUAAUCCUCCGGACGACACUGCGGCUUUGUAUUCUUUAUCAUCGUCGUCGUCGUCGUCGUCGCCGCCGGCUUCGCCUCCUCGGAAGCGCCUAGAAAAAAGACGAUCAGGACCAGAGAGGAAGAGACCAUCACCGACAGCAUCGCCGCAGCAUGCCGCCCCAAUCCGCCGCCCAACUGCGCGUCCCAGAUACCACUCGUAGACUGUCAGCCUCGCGAGGAGACACCGCGGACCGGGGAAACGGAUAAGUUUACGAACAGAAAUCUCAAGAGAAAGACGCUGACCCGGCAAGUACCGUCACGGAGACACGGUGGUUUUUAUUGAAUUUCCAGUGUAUCGAGCCACCGUGAUGCAGGUACGGUGGUUUUAUGUGAAGUGCCGCUAUCUAUAGGCGAUGUGUUCCCUGACGGUGUGUGUUUUUUGGGGAUAGACAACGUGGUUCUUGUACGUGGUUUUUACCCUGCUCAAAAAAGUCACGUUUUCCUUACACGGUGUUGUGUC
This 1157-nucleotide long non-coding RNA is filed under the name Human betaherpesvirus 5. RNAcentral's name for it is "RNA5.0". The record is from RNAcentral. Lineage: Duplodnaviria; Heunggongvirae; Peploviricota; Herviviricetes; Herpesvirales; Orthoherpesviridae.